CGUUCCCGGGUCUUGUACACACCGCCCGUCACACCCGAUGGGGAGCGGGGUUUUACCAGAAGUAGGUAGCUUAACCGCAAGGAGGGCGCUUACCACGGUAGGAGUUCGUGACUGGGGGUG
This 120-nucleotide ribosomal RNA is filed under the name uncultured bacterium. Its description in RNAcentral is "partial 16S ribosomal RNA". It matches the Rfam family "Bacterial small subunit ribosomal RNA", at positions 1369 to 1482 of the family's 1533-position model. The record is from RNAcentral.